This 1375-nucleotide long non-coding RNA is filed under the name Equus caballus (horse). RNAcentral's name for it is "lncRNA (ENSECAG00000056417.1)". Lineage: Eukaryota; Metazoa; Chordata; Mammalia; Perissodactyla; Equidae. The record is from RNAcentral.
GUAUUUCCAUUUUAGGCAGUGGAUUUAUGGUUUGAGAAACCCAUCAGAACUUCUGCAUGGGUUCCUAAGAAACCUAAGGAAUGCCCCAGAAAACCCACAGCCACUGAUCAUCCUCACCCCACACCCACUUCUGGAGACCAGACAAUGGGGCUGGAGGAGACCUCAAGAACAAGAGUGGGAGCAAACAGACCAGAUAGGAGAAAUCUCAAGUGUAAGUUUACUGAGUUCUGAUAAUUGCAUACCUCUGGGUAAUCCAAACUCCUCUCCAAACAUUGACCAUGACCAUCAGGGCACUAGCCUGCCAGUCUUUGGACUGGAACUACACCAGCUGCUCACUUAGACUGAAACUAAACCAUCAGCUCUCCUGGGUCUCCAGCUUGCCAACUCACGCUUCAGAUCUUGGGACUUGCCAGCCUCCAUAAUUACGUUGAAAACCAUGAACACUUCAUACUUUCAUGAUGGGGGUGAAGGGGUUUAAAGAGAUGACUUCUAAGAUCCUUCCAGGCUCUGCUGAGCCCUCUACCAGAUUGACUUGCCCAUGUUACUUCUAGGUCCCACGCUCUGUCCCUCCCGAAUGGUACACAGCUCUCGCUGGGUUCCAGAGAAAAUUGGGCAGCUCGACAAUGAACAUGAUGUGUUUCCCCAAGUCUCAUUUUUAAGGCGGCUUUAUCAGGUUUAAUUAGACAGCUGCCAUCUCUUGUGGCUUGCAGUGUAUAUUUAAGGAGAGAAACAUGAGUCGUCCUCUGUGAAAUGAAAAACAACAUCAUCAAAACUGUCUCUCCACUGCUCUGCUGGCUCCUUACCCACAGCCUAGAAACAUGUUCCAGUUCCUUCCAGGGCUCAGUGGAGAGUUUCUUGAACCACCGUGAGGGGACAUGAUAAUAUGAAGACAUGGGACUGCAGGCGCAGUAUACUUGAGAAGAUUAGCCCUGAGCUAACAUCUGCCACCAAUCCUGAGGAAGACUGGCUGUGAGGUAACAUCUGUGCCCAUCUUCCUCUACUUUAUAUGUGGGACGCCUGCCACAACAUGGCUUGACAAGCGCCGGGUAGGUCUUCACCAGGGAUCCAAACCAGUGAACCUGGGGCUGCUGAAGCAGAAUGUAUGAACUUAACCGCUGUGCCACCAGGCUGGCCCCCUCUAAACUGUAAUUUUCUAAGUAGGGGAAGAAUUUUAAAACAGUGUGAGUGCAAUGUUUUGGCCAAAUAAAUGCAACAUGAAGUCAAGACUAUAGAAGAAAAUAAAAAUCAAUACAACCACAGAAGAUCUCCAACCUGAGUAAUUCUAGCGCAUUCUCUGUCAAAUUAAUGCCCUCUGUCAGGAAGGUACAAGAUGACUUCAUUCAUUCUUUGGGCUCAGGAAUUGGGGGAUACCAGG